This 250-nucleotide ribosomal RNA is filed under the name uncultured bacterium. Its description in RNAcentral is "partial 16S ribosomal RNA". It matches the Rfam family "Bacterial small subunit ribosomal RNA", at positions 355 to 622 of the family's 1533-position model. The record is from RNAcentral.
UAGGGAAUAUUAGUAAUGGGCGAAAGCCUGAACUAGCAACGCCGCGUGUGCGAAGAAGGCCUUCGGGUUGUAAAGCACUUUUUGAGAGGAUGAGGAAGGACGGUACUCUCAGAAUAAGUCUCGGCUAACUACGUGCCAGCAGCCGCGGUAACACGUAGGAGGCGAACGUUAUCCGUAUUUACUGGGCGUAAAUCGCGUGUAGGUGGUUUGGUAAGUAGGGCGUGAAAUCUCCUGGCUCAACUGGGAGAGG